Non-coding RNA from Camellia sinensis, 698 nucleotides. The record is from RefSeq and is a predicted model, not a curated record. NCBI's taxonomy places the organism in Eukaryota, Viridiplantae, Streptophyta, Magnoliopsida, Ericales, Theaceae.
UUCAGCUUCCACUUUCUCUUCUCAAGACUGCACAGGGGCAUCCUAUGUUGGUGGAACUUAAAAAUGGGGAAACAUACAAUGGGCAUUUGGUGAAUUGUGAUACUUGGAUGAAUAUCCAUCUUCGUGAAGUCAUAUGUACCUCAAAAGAUAGAGAUAGGUUUUGGAGAAUGCCAGAAUGCUACAUUCGGGGGAAUACAAUCAAGUAUCUUUGAGUUCCAGAUGAGGUUUGUUAAAUUUUGAACAUUUUUUAAUAUCUGAAGUUCUGAGCUACAUUCCUAUUUUAUCUACUUCAGAUCGUCUUCCUUUGGUGCCUAUUUGUCUUUCUACAUUGAUCACGUAGCAAGUCUUUAAAUAUCAACUUAACAACUCAAUUCAACUUAACAAAACUCUAGUCCCAAUCCAAUUAUGAGUGGUAACCAUGAAUUACCUUUAGUUUGUUUGACUCAUCUAUUAUUGUUUGCUUGGGGAUUUGGUCCUGAAUUACAAUUUACAGCCAAAACCAGUCAAACUCAAAUCAUUGAUUUGCUUAAUCAAACUCUUGAGUGGUGAGAAUUAGUCGCUUUUGAGUUAUUUUAUUUUAUUUAUUUAGUUUUGACUUUUUAAAUUUUUUGGUGGUCAUGGUUGGGUAUAGCAUUUAUGACAUGUUUAGAGAUGCUGUUGUUGCAGAAGCAGUGAGAAUAGGGCGCAUUUUGGGCAUU